This is a long non-coding RNA of Erinaceus europaeus (western European hedgehog), 1182 nucleotides long. RefSeq lists it as uncharacterized. The transcript is spliced from 3 exons. The record is from RefSeq and is a predicted model, not a curated record. Lineage: Eukaryota; Metazoa; Chordata; Mammalia; Eulipotyphla; Erinaceidae.
ACACACACAGACACCCCUUGGGGAUCAUAGCAGGCACACAGGAAGUACUGUGACUGGGGCUUCUGACCACGUCUGACCUUGUCCAGAUUUCACUGGUUUGUUGAACUGGGACUGGGUUGGCCUUCCUGCCUAGCUCUGUAGAUAGGCUGCCCAUCUGCCCUUUUUGGCAUUAGUGUGUGGGGUCUUGCGGGGUGUUGGGUGUGGCUAAUGGGGGGCUUGUGUGUGUGAUGUACAGCGAGGCUGGGGACAUUGUUCCCAGCCAGACCUGGUCCCCUGGCAGUCUGUCCCCAUUGCUGAAUUCGCUGCCUCCCUGGCCAGAUGACUUCUGAGUGGGCUGUUGGCUUGUUUAUUAUCAUGGUUUCUGGUGCCUCCUGAAGAGGUUUAAAUGAAACAAGUAAUGGACCAGGAAGGAGCUCUGCCUUCAACUGAGGAGUUCAGGAACCCUUGCCCCCGCAGGGCUCCAGACUCCCCAAGCUGCUCCAGGUCAAUACUCACAAGGCUCCCACCACCCAGUGACAGGAAGGCAGUUGGGCCAUCCAAACUGAAGGGAAGGAGCUGCUUGAGGGAAGGGAGAAGACCAGAUGCUGGCCUCUGAUGCCUCGAUUGUCAGCGUCUGGUGCGCCACUGCUAUCCCCGUCUCCCCUGAGCAGCCGCUACUGUUUUCACUCAUCACACCUUGGAAAUCAAGAAAAAGGUCAUUGUUGUUAUUUUUAAAAAUAUUUAUGUGUGUAUUCAUUUAUUGGAUAGAGACAGAGAAACCGAGAUGGAAGACAGAGGGAGAGAGAGAGAUACACCUGCAGCACUACUUUACCACUUGUGAAGGUGGGCACUGGGGGCUUGAACCUGAGUCCUUGCCCACGGUGCCCAAGUAUGCCACCACUCCCCUGCAGUGGGGAGCCAGGGGUUCGAACUGGGAUCCUUACAUCAGUCCUUGCACUUCGCGCCAUGUGCACUUAGCCUGCUGUGCCAUGGCCCGGUGCCCCCCAUAUCACUAUAUUGAAUUACUGGUUUACAGGAUUAUGGUUGUUACAAUGGCACAUUUCCCCAGGUCAUGGUUAAUACACAGCUUCCAAGCUGGAAUCAGAGAAGGCACACAUGGUUUUGAGCAGUUCUUCAUCCAGGGCCUGGUGAGGUUGGCCUUCCCGUGCACAGCUGGGCACCAGCUGCAGUGCCAGCCCUUCC